RNAcentral lists this long non-coding RNA (313 nucleotides) under Pan troglodytes (chimpanzee). RNAcentral describes it as "long non-coding RNA NONPTRT008114". Lineage: Eukaryota; Metazoa; Chordata; Mammalia; Primates; Hominidae. The record is from RNAcentral.
GGGUCCCUGCACCGGGAACCAGCAGAGCCUGGCGCACAGUCGCCUAUGGGACGCAGUGGUGGGAUUCCUGCACGUGUUCGCCCACAUGAUGAUGAAGCUCGCUCAGAUGACACCCAUAUCAGGCAUUCAUGAUGUAAGGUCCCUGUUGAGCACCAUCUUCCAUUUCCAUAAUCCUUGUUCCUCUUUCCCUCACCCCUUUGCAGCCUUGCCAAUGUCUCACGAACACUUAAUCCAUUUGCUCUGCUUCUGUCUGGUAACUAUAUUCAAGGCUGCCAUAUACUGUUCCGCAGGUUGUGCACUGCACAAAGGCACG